ACCCCUUUCUUUGACUCGGAAAGGGAACUCCCUGACCCCUUGUGCUUCCCAAGUGAGGCAGUGCCUCGCCCUGCUUCGGCUCGUGCACGGUUCGCGCACCCACUGACCUGCGCCCACUGUCUGGCACUCCCUAGUGAGAUGAACCCAGUACCUCAGAUGGAAAUGCAGAAAUCACCAUCUUCUGCGUCGCUCACGCUGGGAGCUGUAGACCGGAGCUGUUCCUAUUCGGCCAUCUUGAAUUGUAGGCAUUUUUAAAAACAGACUCUGGAGAUGAAUCUUUUCUAGUUAUAUACUUUGUAUUACAUUUAUGCACUGUCUGCUGCCAAAGAUCUGAAACCAAUGAUCUCAUAUAUAUGGUACAGUUUUCUAGUUAUUUACAGUGGGAGAGUAAAUUAUCCAUGCUCAGAAGUAGUGUGUACUAGUCUCAGUAAGUCAAUGGGUUUCCCUGGAUCCAGGCUUGGAGAAAAUGUUUUCUCUUCUCUAUCUGCAAUUCUCCUGAACCAAUUCUGACGGAUAAUAUGACUGUGUCAACCACAAAAGAGGAAAAGAAUGGGCUUUAAAUCCCGCCUUUACAGCCAUCCAAGGCAGGAUUCCUCCUUCUGCACCUUUUUGGCACUGUUUCCUUGAGCUCUCCAUCCUAUCCAUCGAAAGUUACCCAUCCCAAAUCCUAUAUCCUCAGCAACUUUCUGGACAACUGGCUGAUCUGAAGAACCAGUUCAUACUCGUCUAUCUUGUUAUUGUGUUGACUACUCCUUCUUCAAAGGAUGGAACUUUAAGGAUGGAACCAAUUGGCUACAAAUCAUUUUAGCUGAUGCACUGAGACAAUUCUGAAGCAAACUGUCUUAUCCUGGAUUUUGUCAGUAACUGGAGUUGAAGGACUUGAAGAUUCUCAAGGAUUGAUCCAGAAUAUGUUCCAGCAAAAACUACAGCAGAGUAACUUUGACAAGAAAAAUGUUCACUUGCUACCUAAGGAGAGUCUCUGUCUCCUGACCUCUGAAUUUCGAAAUCCUCAGCUCUGGCUGCCACGCAGUGGGAACCGAAUGAGAUGGCUGGGCAGGGUUCUGCAACACAGCAGAAACCCCAGGCUUCCCAAGACCCAGGAUCAGAACUGUAUAAUGUCACUUCUGCCUCACUUUGUUGGACAAAGUAUGUCACAAGAUCAUCUCAGUGGUGGUAAAAUUAUUAUUAUUAUUAUUUUAAGGCAGAGUCUCACUUUGUCACCCAGGCUGGAGUGCAGUGGUGUGAUCUCGGCUGCUCACUACAACCUCCGCCUCCCAUGUUAAGCGACUCUCAUGCCUCAACCUUACCCAUGUUAAGCGACUCUCAUGCCUCAACCUUACCAAGUAGCUGGGAUUACAGGUGCAUGCCACCACAGCUGGCUAAAUUUUGUAUUUUUUUUUUCAUACUUUAAGUUCUGGGGUACAUGUGCACAACAAGCAGGUUUGUUACAGAUGUACACAUGUGCCAUGUUGGUGUGCUGCACCCAUUAACUUGUCAUUUACAUUAGGUAUAUCUCCUAAUGCUAUCCCUCCCCCCUCCCCCCACCCCACGACAGGCCCCGGUGUGUGAUGGAUAACAUCCUAAUAUUCUAACAUGGUGAUGUUAAUCACCUCUAUGCAUAUUGUUAAAAUAUGUAUGCAGUUUUACUAAAAUGUUAGAGAGAAUAUGCCUGAAAUUUAUAUAAGGAAUAAAAACAGAUAAAUCAACCUGAAAA
This is a long non-coding RNA of Homo sapiens (human), 1714 nucleotides long. RefSeq lists it as uncharacterized. The transcript has 7 exons. NCBI's taxonomy places the organism in Eukaryota, Metazoa, Chordata, Mammalia, Primates, Hominidae. The record is from RefSeq and is a predicted model, not a curated record.